This 261-nucleotide ribosomal RNA is filed under the name uncultured bacterium. Its description in RNAcentral is "partial 16S ribosomal RNA". It matches the Rfam family "Bacterial small subunit ribosomal RNA", at positions 524 to 783 of the family's 1533-position model. The record is from RNAcentral.
UACGUAGGGUGCAAGCGUUAAUCGGAAUUACUGGGCGUAAAGCGUGCGCAGGCGGUUUUGUAAGCCAGAUGUGAAAUCCCCGGGCUCAACCUGGGAAUUGCGAUGGAGACUGCAAGGCUAGAAUCUGGCAGAGGGGGGUAGAAUUCCACGUGUGAGCAGUGAAAUGCGUAGAGAUGUGGAGGAACACCGAUGGCGAAGGCAGCCCCCUGGGUCAAGAUUGACGCUCAUGCACGAAAGCGUGGGGAGCAAACAGGAUUACGA